GCGGGUGUAGCUCAGAAGGCCAGAGCUGUCGUCUCCAAAGCGACCGGUCGGGGGUUCGAGUCCCUCCACCCGUGCCA
This 77-nucleotide transfer RNA is filed under the name Actinomycetospora corticicola. Its description in RNAcentral is "tRNA-Trp". It matches the Rfam family "tRNA". From Rfam's summary of the family: Transfer RNA (tRNA) molecules are approximately 80 nucleotides in length. Lineage: Bacteria; Bacillati; Actinomycetota; Actinomycetes; Pseudonocardiales; Pseudonocardiaceae. The record is from RNAcentral.